RNAcentral lists this ribosomal RNA (468 nucleotides) under uncultured bacterium. RNAcentral's name for it is "partial 16S ribosomal RNA". It matches the Rfam family "Bacterial small subunit ribosomal RNA", at positions 28 to 507 of the family's 1533-position model. The record is from RNAcentral.
GACGAACGCUGGCGGCGUGCUUAACACAUGCAAGUCGAACGGAAAGGCCCUGCUUUUGUGGGGUGCUCGAGUGGCGAACGGGUGAGUAACACGUGAGUAACCUGCCCUUGACUUUGGGAUAACUUCAGGAAACUGGGGCUAAUACCGGAUAGGAGCUCCUGCUGCAUGGUGGGGGUUGGAAAGUUUCGGCGGUUGGGGAUGGACUCGCGGCUUAUCAGCUUGUUGGUGGGGUAGUGGCUUACCAAGGCUUUGACGGGUAGCCGGCCUGAGAGGGUGACCGGCCACAUUGGGACUGAGAUACGGCCCAGACUCCUAAGGGAGGCAGCAGUGGGGAAUAUUGAACAAUGGGCGGAAGCCUGAUGCAGCAACGCCGCGUGCGGGAUGACGGCCUUAGGGUUGUAAACCGCUUUCGCCUGUGACGAAGCGUGAGUGAAGGUAAUGGGUAAAGAAGCACCGGCUAACUACGUG